AUUGAACGCUGGCGGCAUGCCUUACACAUGCAAGUCGAACGGCAGCACGGGUGCUUGCACCUGGUGGCGAGUGGCGAACGGGUGAGUAAUACAUCGGAACAUAUCCUGUAGUGGGGGAUAGCCCGGCGAAAGCCGGAUUAAUACCGCAUACGAUCUACGGAUGAAAGCGGGGAACCUUCGGGCCUCGCGCUAUAGGGUUGGCCGAUGGCUGUUUAGCUAGUUGGUGGGGUAAAGGCCUACCAAGGCGACGAUCAGUAGAUGGUCUGAGAGGACGACCAGCCACACUGGGACUGAGACACGGCCCAGACUCCUACGGGAGGCAGCAGUGGGGAAUUUUGGACAAUGGGCGAAAGCCUGAUCCAGCAAUGCCGCGUGUGUGAAGAAGGCCUUCGGGUUGUAAAGCACUUUUGUCAGGAAAGAAAUCCUUGGCUCUAAUACAGUCGGGGGAUGACGGUACCGGAAGAAUAAGCACCGGCUAACUACGUG
RNAcentral lists this ribosomal RNA (486 nucleotides) under uncultured bacterium. Its description in RNAcentral is "partial 16S ribosomal RNA". It matches the Rfam family "Bacterial small subunit ribosomal RNA", at positions 30 to 507 of the family's 1533-position model. The record is from RNAcentral.